UACCCGUACCGCAAACCGACACAGGUGGGUGAGGAGAGUAUCCUAAGGCCAGCGAGAGAACUGUUGUUAAGGAACUCGGCAAAAUGACCCCGUAACUUAGGGAUAAGGGGUGCCACCAUCAGGUGGCAGCAGAGAAUAGGCCCAAGCGACUGUUUACCAAAAACAUAGGUUUCUGCUAAGUCGCAAGACGAUGUAUAGGAGCUGACGCCUGCCCGGUGCUGGAAGGUUAAGGGGAUCUGUUAGAG
RNAcentral lists this ribosomal RNA (245 nucleotides) under Clostridioides difficile. RNAcentral's name for it is "partial 23S ribosomal RNA". It matches the Rfam family "Bacterial large subunit ribosomal RNA", at positions 1639 to 1895 of the family's 2925-position model. Lineage: Bacteria; Bacillati; Bacillota; Clostridia; Peptostreptococcales; Peptostreptococcaceae. The record is from RNAcentral.